This 1289-nucleotide long non-coding RNA is filed under the name Mytilus galloprovincialis (Mediterranean mussel). Lineage: Eukaryota; Metazoa; Mollusca; Bivalvia; Mytilida; Mytilidae. The record is from RNAcentral.
CGGUAAAAAAAACCGGAUGAUGCUGUAAUUGUUUAGCUUGUUUAAAAUGAGCUAGCAUAAACGAACUAAGACGUGUCAACAUAAUGUGAAUAUGAUAACGAAUCAGGUAAAUUAUUUCUUGUUAAGUUUAUCACCUCAUCGUAUCAUCAUAUGAUAGGUAAAUGCGUGAAUUUUCGAUUUUCAGUGUCGUCAGGGAUCAAACUUGUAAUCAUGCCAUCCUUUCAUUAUUUUUUUUUAAAUACUAUCCAAUGGUCGGAACACCUUGAUUUUCUCCCAAUUUGUAAAGUUGAUUAUGUUGCAUGAUAUAUAUUUUUAUCGGGGAAAAAAUUGAUAUGCAGCAAAGAUUGGCAGUUUUUAAUUUGUGUUGCUAUGUGAAAUAAUGGGAGGUAAAUUAAAGUAUAAGAAGGCGCGCUUUUUCAAAUAGUAAACAAUUUAAUUCAGAUGCAUAGUAUUUUGUCAAAUGAUAAAGAAUAUCGUAGAAACUUACUAGAAAUUCAUCUAAUUUAUAAAAUAUAUACAACAUGACAUACUGAAAUCUGAAAAGGGGUAAAACCACUAUACCUUGAACAAAUUCAGUUAAAAAAAGGGGGGUGGUGAAAAUGCUACGAAAUUUAGAUUAUAUUUAUCUGGGGUCUACAACCAAAGGAUGAUGGGACAUGCAACUAACUACUUUUUCAAUUUGAUUGUAAAGUAAAAUGGCUGUGGUUUUUUUGGGGGGAUUUUUUUUUAGCAUCUCUGUUCAAACGUACGUUGGUCUAAUAUUUUCAGGUUCUCUUUGGAUUGCCAAAUAAUAUUAUAAUCACCUAAUUGAAUGUUCAAAUUAUUUUGCAGUGAUGUUCUGUAUGGAAGGAAGACUGUCAUAAAAUCUAACAGUUCCGGAUGGCCCGUUAAACUAAUUGCUUAACAUCAAUAACGAUGUAAGAUUCAAGUGUCUGAUCCAGCACAAGUUUAGCCAGAUUUUCCACACUAGACAGUGUCUGGCAUUGAAAGGAUAUCAAACGGAUGUUUUAUGGAAUGAUUCUCACGUACAUAUGACAAUCAUAUGCAUAGGAAUGUGGAGCUAGACUCUUUCAUGCAACAAUUUAAUUUCCAAUAUAAACUCCGAAAAGACAAGAGCAUAGAAAUGUACAUCAAUGAGAAACAUUCUUUGUGAAUAAAAUCCUUCCAAAACUUAAAAAUGUGUCAUUAGUGUUGCAUUAUUUAUCAGUAGAGAUAAUUAGAUUCCAGUCAGAUUGCCCAACUGAAGGUUUUUGUUGGAAAUGUUUUGUAAAUCUUGGCUGUUUUGCAAG